This 2917-nucleotide ribosomal RNA is filed under the name Escherichia coli O104:H4 str. C227-11. RNAcentral describes it as "bacterial LSU rRNA". It matches the Rfam family "Bacterial large subunit ribosomal RNA". Lineage: Bacteria; Pseudomonadati; Pseudomonadota; Gammaproteobacteria; Enterobacterales; Enterobacteriaceae. The record is from RNAcentral.
UUAAGCGACUAAGCGUACACGGUGGAUGCCCUGGCAGUCAGAGGCGAUGAAGGACCGUGCUAAUCUGCGAUAAGCGUCGGUAAGGGUGAUAUGAAACCGUUAUAACCGGCGAUUUCCGAAUGGGGAAACCCAGUGUGUUUCGACACACUAUCAUUAACUGAAUCCAUAGGUUAAUGAGGCGAACCGGGGGAACUGAAACAUCUAAAGUACCCCCGAGGAAAAGAAAUCAACCGAGAUUCCCCCCAGUAGCGGCGAGCGAACGGGGAGCAGCCCAGAGCCUGAAUCAGUGUGUGUGUUAGUGGAAGCGUCUGGAAAGGCGCGCGAUACAGGGUGACAGCCCCGUACACAAAAAUGCACAUGCUGUGAGCUCGAUGAGUAGGGCGGGACACGUGGUAUCCUGUCUGAAUAUGGGGGGACCAUCCUCCAAGGCUAAAUACUCCUGACUGACCGAUCGUGAACCAGUACCGUGAGGGAAAGGCGAAAAGAACCCCGGCGAGGGGAGUGAAAAAAGAACCUGAAACCGUGUACGUACAAGCAGUGGGAGCACGCUUAGGCGUGUGACUGCGUACGUUUUGUAUAAUGGGUCAGCGACUUAUAUUCUGUAGCAAGGUUAACCGAAUAGGGGAGCCGAAGGGAAACCCGAGUCUUAACUGGGCGUUAAGUUGCAGGGUAUAGACCCGAAACCCGGUGAUCUAGCCAUUGGCAGGUUGAAGGUUGGGUAACACUAACUGGAGGACCGAACCGACUAAUGUUGAAAAAUUAGCGGAUGACUUGUGGCUGGGGGUGAAAGGCCAAUCAAACCGGGAGAUAGCUGGUUCUCCCCGAAAAGCUAUUUAGGUAGCGCCUCGUGAAUUCAUCUCCGGGGGUAGAGCACUGUUUCGGCAAGGGGGUCAUCCCGACUUACCAACCCGAUGCAAACUGCGAAUACCGGAGAAUGUUAUCACGGGAGACACACGGCGGGUGCUAACGUCCGUCGUGAAAGAGGGAAACAACCCCAGACCGCCAGCUAAGGUCCCAAAAGUCAUGGUUAACGUGGGAAACGAUGUGGGAAGGCCCAGACAGCCAGGAUGUUGGCUUAGAAGCAGCCAUCAUUUAAAGAAAGCGUAAUAGCUCACUGGUCGAGUCGGCCUGCGGCGGAAGAUGUAACGGGGGCUAAACCAUGCACCGAAGCUGCGGCAGCGACGCUUAUGCGUUGUUGGGUAGGGGAGCGUUCUGUAAGCCUGUGAAGGUGUACUGUGAGGUAUGCUGGAGGUAUCAGAAGUGCGAAUGCUGACAUAAGUAACGAUAAAGCGGGUGAAAAGCCCGCUCGCCGGAAGACCAAGGGUUCCUGUCCAACGUUAAUCGGGGCAGGGUGAGUCGACCCCUAAGGCGAGGCCGAAAGGCGUAGUCGAUGGGAAACAGGUUAAUAUUCCUGUACUUGGUGUUACUGCGAAGGGGGGACGGAGAAGGCUAUGUUGGCCGGGCGACGGUUGUCCCGGUUUAAGCGUGUAGGCUGGUUUUCCAGGCAAAUCCGGAAAAUCAAGGCUGAGGCGUGAUGACGAGGCACUACGGUGCUGAAGCAACAAAUGCCCUGCUUCCAGGAAAAGCCUCUAAGCAUCAGGUAACAUCAAAUCGUACCCCAAACCGACACAGGUGGUCAGGUAGAGAAUACCAAGGCGCUUGAGAGAACUCGGGUGAAGGAACUAGGCAAAAUGGUGCCGUAACUUCGGGAGAAGGCACGCUGAUAUGUAGGUGAAGUGACUCGCGGGUGGAGCUGAAAUCAGUCGAAGAUACCAGCUGGCUGCAACUGUUUAUUAAAAACACAGCACUGUGCAAACACGAAAGUGGACGUAUACGGUGUGACGCCUGCCCGGUGCCGGAAGGUUAAUUGAUGGGGUCAGCGCAAGCGAAGCUCUUGAUCGAAGCCCCGGUAAACGGCGGCCGUAACUAUAACGGUCCUAAGGUAGCGAAAUUCCUUGUCGGGUAAGUUCCGACCUGCACGAAUGGCGUAAUGAUGGCCAGGCUGUCUCCACCCGAGACUCAGUGAAAUUGAACUCGCUGUGAAGAUGCAGUGUACCCGCGGCAAGACGGAAAGACCCCGUGAACCUUUACUAUAGCUUGACACUGAACAUUGAGCCUUGAUGUGUAGGAUAGGUGGGAGGCUUUGAAGUGUGGACGCCAGUCUGCAUGGAGCCGACCUUGAAAUACCACCCUUUAAUGUUUGAUGUUCUAACGUGGACCCGUAAUCCGGGUUGCGGACAGUGUCUGGUGGGUAGUUUGACUGGGGCGGUCUCCUCCUAAAGAGUAACGGAGGAGCACGAAGGUUGGCUAAUCCUGGUCGGACAUCAGGAGGUUAGUGCAAUGGCAUAAGCCAGCUUGACUGCGAGCGUGACGGCGCGAGCAGGUGCGAAAGCAGGUCAUAGUGAUCCGGUGGUUCUGAAUGGAAGGGCCAUCGCUCAACGGAUAAAAGGUACUCCGGGGAUAACAGGCUGAUACCGCCCAAGAGUUCAUAUCGACGGCGGUGUUUGGCACCUCGAUGUCGGCUCAUCACAUCCUGGGGCUGAAGUAGGUCCCAAGGGUAUGGCUGUUCGCCAUUUAAAGUGGUACGCGAGCUGGGUUUAGAACGUCGUGAGACAGUUCGGUCCCUAUCUGCCGUGGGCGCUGGAGAACUGAGGGGGGCUGCUCCUAGUACGAGAGGACCGGAGUGGACGCAUCACUGGUGUUCGGGUUGUCAUGCCAAUGGCACUGCCCGGUAGCUAAAUGCGGAAGAGAUAAGUGCUGAAAGCAUCUAAGCACGAAACUUGCCCCGAGAUGAGUUCUCCCUGACUCCUUGAGAGUCCUGAAGGAACGUUGAAGACGACGACGUUGAUAGGCCGGGUGUGUAAGCGCAGCGAUGCGUUGAGCUAACCGGUACUAAUGAACCGUGAGGCUUAACCUU